UAUGGCGACCGGCGCACGGGUGAGUAACACGUAUCCAACCUGCCGAUGACUCGGGGAUAGCCUUUCGAAAGAAAGAUUAAUACCCGAUGGCAUAGUUCUUCCGCAUGGUAGAACUAUUAAAGAAUUUCGGUCAUCGAUGGGGAUGCGUUCCAUUAGGUUGUUGGCGGGGUAACGGCCCACCAAGCCUUCGAUGGAUAGGGGCUCUGAGAGGAAGGUCCCCCACAUUGGAACUGAGACACGGUCCAA
Molecule: ribosomal RNA, 246 nt
Filed under: uncultured bacterium
Lineage: Bacteria
Description: partial 16S ribosomal RNA
Rfam family: Bacterial small subunit ribosomal RNA
Source: RNAcentral